AUUGAACGCUGGCGGAAUGCUUUACACAUGCAAGUCGAGCGGCAGCACGGGGGUAACCCUGGUGGCGAGCGGCGAACGGGUGAGUAAUACAUCGGAACAUGCCCAGUCGUGGGGGAUAACACUUUGAAAGAAGUGCUAAUACCGCAUACGUCCUGAGGGAGAAAGCGGGGGAUAGCAAGACAUCGCGCGAUUGGAGUGGCCGAUGUCAGAUUAGCUAGUUGGUGGGGUAAAGGCCUACCAAGGCAACGAUCUGUAGCUGGUCUGAGAGGAUGAUCAGCCACACUGGGACUGAGACACGGCCCAGACUCCUACGGGAGGCAGCAGUGGGGAAUUUUGGACAAUGGGGGCAACCCUGAUCCAGCCAUUCCGCGUGAGUGAAGAAGGCCUUCGGGUUGUAAAGCUCUUUCGGCAGGAACGAAACGGUGAGCUCUAACAUAGCUUGCUAAUGACGGUACCUGAAGAAGAAGCACCGGCUAACUACGUG
RNAcentral lists this ribosomal RNA (484 nucleotides) under uncultured bacterium. RNAcentral's name for it is "partial 16S ribosomal RNA". It matches the Rfam family "Bacterial small subunit ribosomal RNA", at positions 30 to 507 of the family's 1533-position model. The record is from RNAcentral.